UCUGAAUGGGGAAACCCACCGACUUUCGGGUCGGUAUCUUACACUGAAUCCAUAGGUGUAAGAGGCGAACUCGGGGAACUGAAACAUCUAAGUACCCGAAGGAAAAGAAAUCAACCGAGAUUCCCUCAGUAGCGGCGAGCGAACGGGGACCAGCCCUUAAGCUGGACAACUGGUAGGAGAAGGCCCUGGAAAGAGCCGCCAUAGUGGGUGAUAGCCCCGUAUCCGAAACCUGAGUCCAGUGAAAUCGAGUAGGACGGGUCACGUGUAAUCCUGUCUGAACAUGGGGGGACCAUCCUCCAAGGCUAAAUACUCCUGACUGACCGAUAGUGAACCAGUACCGUGAGGGAAAGGCGAAAAGAACCCCUGUGAGGGGAGUGAAAUAGACCCUGAAACCGUAUGCGUACAAGCAGUCGGAGCGGACUUGUUCCGUGACGGCGUACCUUUUGUAUAAUGGGUCAGCGACUUAUGUUCAGUGGCGAGGUUAACCGUAUAGGGGAGCCGUAGGGAAACCGAGUCUGAAUAGGGCGACUUAGUCGCUGGGCAUAGACCCGAAACCGGGCGAUCUAUCCAUGAGCAGGGUGAAGGUGCCGUAACAGGCACUGGAGGCCCGAACCCACUGUCGUUGAAAAGCCAGGGGAUGACUUGUGGAUCGGAGUGAAAGGCUAAUCAAGCCCGGAGAUAGCUGGUUCUCCCCGAAAGCUAUUUAGGUAGCGCCUCGGACGAAUACCACUGGGGGUAGAGCACUGUUUCGGCUAGGGGGUCAUCCCGACUUACCAACCCGAUGCAAACUCCGAAUACCAGUGAGUACUAUCCGGGAGACACACGGCGGGUGCUAACGUCCGUCGUGAAGAGGGAAACAACCCAGACCGCCAGCUAAGGUCCCCAAGUACCAGUUAAGUGGGAAACGAUGUGGGAAGGCUCAGACAGCUAGGAGGUUGGCUUAGAAGCAGCCAUCCUUUAAAGAAAGCGUAAUAGCUCACUAGUCGAGUCGGCCUGCGCGGAAGAUGUAACGGGGCUCAAACUGGUCACCGAAGCUGCGGCUGCAUACGCAAGUAUGCGGGGUAGGGGAGCGUUCUGUAAGCCUG
This 1085-nucleotide ribosomal RNA is filed under the name Marinobacter segnicrescens. Its description in RNAcentral is "bacterial LSU rRNA". It matches the Rfam family "Bacterial large subunit ribosomal RNA", at positions 113 to 1251 of the family's 2925-position model. The record is from RNAcentral. Lineage: Bacteria; Pseudomonadati; Pseudomonadota; Gammaproteobacteria; Pseudomonadales; Marinobacteraceae.